GUAACAUAUAUACUAGCUAUGCUAGAAGAUAGACGAGUGGCGGACGGGUGAGUAAUGCUUGGGAACUUGCCUUUGCGAGGGGGAUAACAGUUGGAAACGACUGCUAAUACCGCAUAAUGUCUUCGGACCAAACGGGGCUUCGGCUCCGGCGCAAAGAGGGCCCAAGUGAGAUUAGCUAGUUGGUAAGGUAACGGCUUACCAAGGCGACGAUCUCUAGCUGUUCUGAGAGGAAGAUCAGCCACACUGGGACUGAGACACGGCCCAGACUCCUACGGGAGGCAGCAGUGGGGAAUAUUGCACAAUGGGGGAAACCCUGAUGCAGCCAUGCCGCGUGUGUGAAGAAGGCCUUCGGGUUGUAAAGCACUUUCAGUUGUGAGGAAAAGUUAGUAGUUAAUACCUGCUAGCCGUGACGUUAACAACAGAAGAAGCACCGGCUAACUCCGUGCCAGCAGCCGCGGUAAUACGGAGGGUGCGAGCGUUAAUCGGAAUUACUGGGCGUAAAGCGCACGCAGGCGGUUUGUUAAGCUAGAUGUGAAAGCCCCGGGCUCAACCUGGGAUGGUCAUUUAGAACUGGCAGACUAGAGUCUUGGAGAGGGGAGUGGAAUUCCAGGUGUAGCGGUGAAAUGCGUAGAUAUCUGGAGGAACAUCAGUGGCGAAGGCGACUCCCUGGCCAAAGACUGACGCUCGAGUGCGAAAGUGUGGGUAGCGAAGCAGGAUUAGAUACCCUGGUAGUCCACACCGUAAAC
This 746-nucleotide ribosomal RNA is filed under the name Alteromonas macleodii. RNAcentral's name for it is "bacterial SSU rRNA". It matches the Rfam family "Bacterial small subunit ribosomal RNA", at positions 46 to 807 of the family's 1533-position model. Lineage: Bacteria; Pseudomonadati; Pseudomonadota; Gammaproteobacteria; Alteromonadales; Alteromonadaceae. The record is from RNAcentral.